GGCGAUGCUGCCCCUUCCCCGCCCUCUAACUUCACGUUACCUACUUAAUGGGGCUUGCAGCUGGGAGAGGGAGGCAGGACUUUGCUCGUACUUUGAACAGAGGAGCUGCACUGACUAUUCUCUAGUCCUCUGGGACCUUGCCUGUGACUGAGGAGAACACAAGGAUCUCUGUCGAGGCCCCAGCAAUCUCCUCAAUAACCUGGGGUGGAUGUCACUGAAGGCCAUUUUGUUGCUGGCGGUGGCUAUUACUUGGCACUAUGAGAAAUCUGAUGGCGGAGGGGAAGAAGCUGUUCCUGAACCAUUGAGUGUGGGUCUUCAGGCUCCUGUACCUCCUCCCUGAUGGGAGAAAUUUCAUUAAAUAAUAACAAGUCACAACUUCGCAGAACUUACCAAUAGACAGAAGAAUGAGUGAUCACUCCGUCUUUGCAGAUCAUUUCUGUUACAUCCUUCAUCUGGCUACAAGCAAAAGAAUUUACAAUGAAAAUUCAGUUUUGUAAUUUAAUAAAGGAA
Molecule: long non-coding RNA, 510 nt
Organism: Pristis pectinata (smalltooth sawfish)
Lineage: Eukaryota; Metazoa; Chordata; Chondrichthyes; Rhinopristiformes; Pristidae
Exons: 4
Source: RefSeq, a predicted model, not a curated record